AUGAAGCAAGAAGUAUAUGCUGACAGGAGACAGAGCAUAUCAAAUACAGAGUUGAAUGCUAGCAACAAUCCAUUGAACUGACAAGGCUUUGCUGUUGCAGGAAUUAGAGAAAGGAUAAAAGGAGCUGAACAGACUUGAAUCCCCAUAAGAACAACAAUACCAACCAACCAUCAGUCCCAGGGGCAAAAACACUACCCAAAGACUACACAUGGACAGACCCAUGACUCCAGCUGCAUAUGUUUGACACCCACGGGAGAAGAAGCCCUUGGUCCUGACACAGUUGGAACCCCCCGCAGUAUUUAUUGUGAAGCACAGUGAACGAAAUGUUUCCCUAAACAGAGAUCUGAGGAAGAAGCAUACUCUGUUCUCAGAAUGGCGGUGGACUAUGAAAGAGAAAUCAUGGAAGAGAAGAUGAAAGGCCAAGAUUUUGCUACCUUUCAACUACAUUUACAGUGUAUGUGGAAGCCCGUGGUCAACAUCAGGUAUCUUCUAUCACUCAUCAGCUUUUUAUAAAAGUAGUGUCUUCCAUUGAACCUGGAUCUUACCUAUUUUUGUUGUUGGACUGUCUGCCCAACAAGCUCCAGAAAUUAUAUUGUGACUCAAAUCUGGGAUAACAGGCAUGUGCCACCAUGAUUGGCCCUUUUAAAUGGGUACAGGAAAUAAGCUGAGUUCUUCCUGCAUUAUGCAAAGCACUUUACUCUUAGCCCCCUCUCAAUAACUUACAUUAAAUCCUUUAAGGAUGUUCACAUACCGAUGUUCUGAAAUAUUCUUUCAAAGAGUUUUACCAUCUUGCUGCUUUUAUCAUUACUAUGUGAGUGCAUCAUUGACAAAUUCCAUUCUGUAUUUGCAUGCCAGUAAAUUCAGCUAUAAAGGAAAUAUUAGAUGAUUGUAGAUCUAAACCCAUGACCAUAAGACUCUUGAACACUUUCCUGAAAAGAGCUAUGUGGAAGAUCUCUGACCUUGGAAUGAGAAGAUAGACACUUUGGCUUUUUUAAAGACAUAGGUAAACAUAUAACAAAGACACGUGCUCCACUAUAUUCAUAGCAGGCUUAUUUAUAAUAGCCAGAAGCUGGAAAGAACCCAGAUGCCCUUCAACAGAGGAAUGAAUACAGAAAAUGUGGAACAUCUACACAAUGGAAUAUUACUCAGCUAUCAAAAACAAUGACUUUAUGAAAUUCAUAGGCAAAUGGUUGGAACUGGAAAAUGUCAUCCUGAGUGAGGUAACCCAAUCACAGAAAGAUAUACAUGGUAUGCACUCAUUGAUAAGUGGCUAUUAGCCCAAAUGCUUGAAUUACCCUAGAUGCCUAGAACAAAUGAAACUCAAGACGGAUGAUCAAAAUGUGAAUGCUUCACUCCUUCUUUAAAAGAGGAAAAAGAAUACCCUUGGCAGGGAAGGGAGAGGCAAAGAUUAAAACAGAGACUGAAGGAACACCCAUUCAGAGCCUGCCCCACAUGUGGCCCAUACAUAUACAGCCACCCAAUUAGACAAGAUGGAUGAAGCAAAGAAGUGCAGACCGACAGGAGCCGGAUGUAGAUCGCUCCUGAGAGACACAGCCAGAAUACAGCAAAUAUAGAGGCGAAUGCCAGCAGCAAACCACUGAACUGAGAAUAGGUCCCCUAUUGAAGGAAUCAGAGAAAGAACUGGAAGAGCUUGAAGGGGCUCGAGACCCCAAAAGUACAACAAUGCCAAGCAACCAGAGCUUCCAGGGACUAAGCCACUACCUAAAGACUAUACAUGGACUGACCCUGGACUCUGACCCCAUAGGUAGCAAUGAAUAUCCUAGUAAGAGCACCAGUGGAAGGGGAAGCCCUGGGUCCUGCUAAGACUGAACCCACAGUGAACUAGUCUAUGGGGGGAGGGCGGCAAUGGGGGGAGGGUUGGGAG
This is a non-coding RNA of Rattus norvegicus (Norway rat), 1885 nucleotides long. Lineage: Eukaryota; Metazoa; Chordata; Mammalia; Rodentia; Muridae. The record is from RefSeq and is a predicted model, not a curated record.